Molecule: ribosomal RNA, 253 nt
Filed under: uncultured bacterium
Lineage: Bacteria
Description: partial 16S ribosomal RNA
Rfam family: Bacterial small subunit ribosomal RNA
Source: RNAcentral
UACAGAGGGGGCAAGCGUUGUUCGGAAUUACUGGGCGUAAAGGGCGCGUAGGCGGCCUGUUAAGACGAACGUGAAAUCCCCGGGCUCAACCCGGGAACUGCGUCCGAUACUGGCAGGCUUGAAUCCGGGAGAGGGAUGCGGAAUUCCAGGUGUAGCGGUGAAAUGCGUAGAUAUCUGGAGGAACACCGGUGGCGAAGGCGGCAUCCUGGACCGGUAUUGACGCUGAUGCGCGAAAGCCAGAGGAGCAAACGGG